This 594-nucleotide ribosomal RNA is filed under the name Orchestia guancha. Its description in RNAcentral is "bacterial SSU rRNA". It matches the Rfam family "Eukaryotic small subunit ribosomal RNA", at positions 638 to 1138 of the family's 1831-position model. The record is from RNAcentral. Lineage: Eukaryota; Metazoa; Arthropoda; Malacostraca; Amphipoda; Talitridae.
AUCUACUCAGAGUGCUUGGGUGGAGGUUUGUGUCUGGGGCCUGGCGCGUUCGUUUCGUGCGUGCGCGCUCGUGCUUUGGCGCUUCCUCUUUUGCUCACCUCUGUGCUCUUACUCGGAGGAGGUGACUUCUGUGUCACCUUGAGUAAAUCAUGGUGCUCACAGCAGUCGUGCGGGCCCUGUGCCCUGUGAACAGUCUAUGCGGACUGAAUUGGUUUUGCAAGGCAUGACGAAACAUGACGUCGCUGCUGGUCGCGAGUGUGAGGGCGCAGCUCUCGUGGUUGCGCCGAGCGGUUUGCCAGUAGUGACGUAAUGAUCAAUGGAGACGGUAGCUGGCAUUGGUAUUGCGCGGCGAGAGGUGAAAUUCUGCGACCCCCGCAAGACCUCCUAAAGCGAAGGCGUCUGCCAAGGACGUGUUCACCAAUCAUGAACGAAAGUCAGAGGAUCGAAGGCGAUCAGAUACCGCCCUAGUUCUGACCCUAAACGAUGCCAACCAUCAAUCCGCGUGAGCACCCUAUCUAACGGGCUCGGCGGGCAGCUCCCUUCUUCCGGGAAACCAGAGUUUUUGGGUUCCGGGGGGAGUCUGGUUGCAAAGCU